This 726-nucleotide small RNA is filed under the name Pan troglodytes (chimpanzee). Its description in RNAcentral is "processed transcript". Lineage: Eukaryota; Metazoa; Chordata; Mammalia; Primates; Hominidae. The record is from RNAcentral.
CACAGGCAUUUGUGGCUGUCCUUGGUAGUCAUCUUGGGUAGGGAGUGAGCUCUCAGGAUCAUCAACCUAAGGAUGGGUGGAGGCCUGUGGCUGAGGGUGCCCGUUUCUCCCAGGGUCGGCCAAGUAGAUAUGGACAUCAAGCUGACCGGACAGUUCAUUCGGGAGCAACACUGUCUGUUCCGGAGCAUCCCCCAGCCAGAUGGAGAAGUGGUGGUCACUCUGGAGCCUUGUGAAGGAGCUGAGACAUAUGUGAAUGGGAAGCUUGUGACGGAGCCGCUGGUGCUGAAGUCAGGGAAUAGGAUUGUGAUGGGCAAGAACCACGUUUUCCGCUUCAACCACCCGGAGCAGGCAAGGCUGGAACGGGAACGAGGGGUCCCCCCACCCCCAGGACCGCCCUCUGAGCCAGUCGACUGGAACUUUGCCCAGAAGGAACUGCUGGAGCAGCAAGGCAUCGACAUCAAGCUGGAAAUGGAGAAGAGGCUGCAGGAUCUGGAGAAUCAGUACCGGAAAGAAAAGGAAGAAGCCGAUCUUCUGCUGGAGCAGCAGCGACUGUAUGCAGACUCGGACAGCGGGGAUGACUCUGACAAGCGCUCUUGUGAAGAGAGCUGGAGGCUCAUCUCCUCCUUGCGGGAGCAGCUGCCGCCCACCACGGUCCAGACCAUUGUCAAACGCUGUGGUCUGCCCAGCAGUGGCAAGCGCAGGGCCCCUCGCAGGGUUUAUCAGAUC